AACACAUGCAAGUCGAGCGGAUGAAGGGAGCUUGCUCCUGGAUUCAGCGGCGGACGGGUGAGUAAUGCCUAGGAAUCUGCCUGGUAGUGGGGGACAACGUUUCGAAAGGAACGCUAAUACCGCAUACGUCCUACGGGAGAAAGCAGGGGACCUUCGGGCCUUGCGCUAUCAGAUGAGCCUAGGUCGGAUUAGCUAGUUGGUGAGGUAAUGGCUCACCAAGGCGACGAUCCGUAACUGGUCUGAGAGGAUGAUCAGUCACACUGGAACUGAGACACGGUCCAGACUCCUACGGGAGGCAGCAGUGGGGAAUAUUGGACAAUGGGCGAAAGCCUGAUCCAGCCAUGCCGCGUGUGUGAAGAAGGUCUUCGGAUUGUAAAGCACUUUAAGUUGGGAGGAAGGGUUGUAGAUUAAUACUCUGCAAUUUUGACNUUACCNACAGAAUAAGCACCGGCUAACUCUGUGCCAGCAGCCGCGGUAAUACAGAGGGUGCAAGCGUUAAUCGGAAUUACUGGGCGU
This 516-nucleotide ribosomal RNA is filed under the name uncultured bacterium. Its description in RNAcentral is "bacterial SSU rRNA". It matches the Rfam family "Bacterial small subunit ribosomal RNA", at positions 50 to 561 of the family's 1533-position model. The record is from RNAcentral.